Molecule: long non-coding RNA, 401 nt
Filed under: Helianthus annuus (common sunflower)
Lineage: Eukaryota; Viridiplantae; Streptophyta; Magnoliopsida; Asterales; Asteraceae
Description: hypothetical non coding rna
Source: RNAcentral
GUCGACCCCAGGUAGAAAAAAAAAAAAGAGGAAAAACCCUCACAAACUAAAAUCAGUGAAAUAUGAAGGAAGAUCAAGGCUAAUCUUGUGCAUGAACCCUAAUUUGUGACCAUUUAAGCUUGCUUAACAAGUGGAAGGAUGAGUGCGAAGGAAGAAGGCUCAAGCAAUAAGAAGCCUCAAAACUCACAAGAUCGAGGUAAAGCCAUCCUUUAAAUGGCACGCUACGCUCGGAACGAACACACUCCAUAUUGCCCGCAAUGCGCUUCCGGAAUUUAGUGUUGUAAACAGGUCAAAACACUUUUCUUGUCUUUUAGUCAGGCGUUGAUAAACUUUACCCAAUAACAUGUGUUUAAAACUUUUGUAAAUGUUGGUGGGUUUGUAGUUGUUUAAAUUGGUUGAUU